This 253-nucleotide ribosomal RNA is filed under the name uncultured bacterium. RNAcentral's name for it is "partial 16S ribosomal RNA". It matches the Rfam family "Bacterial small subunit ribosomal RNA", at positions 524 to 776 of the family's 1533-position model. The record is from RNAcentral.
UACGUAGGGGGCAAGCGUUGUCCGGAAUUAUUGGGCGUAAAGAGCGCGUAGGCGGUCCGAUAAGUCGGCUGUGAAAGUCAGGGGCUCAACCCUUGAAAGCCGGCCGAUACUGUCGGACUAGAGUCCGGAAGAGGCAAGUGGAAUUCCCGGUGUAGCGGUGAAAUGCGCAGAUAUCGGGAGGAACACCGGUGGCGAAGGCGGCGACCUGGGUAGAUACUGACGCUGAGGUGCGAAAGCGUGGGGAGCAAACAGG